CUUGUGGACCCGACAGUGGACGGGAGAUGCCAAUUCAAAGCGGCAUAUGGAGUCCUUGCCUUACAAAGGGGAGGAGUUGUUUGGAGACGGCCUCUCGGACCUUGUCUCUACGGCUACGGCUGUGUACAAGAAGGUGCAGAACUCCUCCCACGCUCGGGAACAGCCUCCACAAACGGAAAGUGCUCCUUCAUACUUCAAUAUGUGAAGAAGCAUAAUUUUUUUAGGAACAGCGCUGCAGAGUUUAUCUGUUGCCAUGACGAUUUUUGUCUGACGUGUGGUGUGAAUAUGCGCGCUGUCAUCAUCUUUCCACGCCAGAGCUCCGGGUCGGAUUCCCGCGCCAGAGAUCGCAGCCAAUCUGUGUGUAUCCACGUUUCUUCUUGGGGGUUAUAAGGUAAA
Molecule: long non-coding RNA, 396 nt
Organism: Pseudophryne corroboree (corroboree frog)
Lineage: Eukaryota; Metazoa; Chordata; Amphibia; Anura; Myobatrachidae
Exons: 3
Source: RefSeq, a predicted model, not a curated record